UUUGGGAUCUUUUUGUACAUACUGUACA
This 28-nucleotide non-coding RNA is filed under the name Mus musculus (house mouse). Lineage: Eukaryota; Metazoa; Chordata; Mammalia; Rodentia; Muridae. The record is from RNAcentral.